Molecule: transfer RNA, 88 nt
Filed under: Anaerolineae bacterium
Lineage: Bacteria; Bacillati; Chloroflexota; Anaerolineae
Description: tRNA-Ser
Rfam family: tRNA
About the family: Transfer RNA (tRNA) molecules are approximately 80 nucleotides in length. Their secondary structure includes four short double-helical elements and three loops (D, anti-codon, and T loops). Further hydrogen bonds mediate the characteristic L-shaped molecular structure. tRNAs have two regions of fundamental functional importance: the anti-codon, which is responsible for specific mRNA codon recognition, and the 3' end, to which the tRNAs corresponding amino acid is attached (by aminoacyl-tRNA synthetases). tRNAs cope with the degeneracy of the genetic code in two manners: having more than one tRNA (with a specific anti-codon) for a particular amino acid; and 'wobble' base-pairing, i.e. permitting non-standard base-pairing at the 3rd anti-codon position.
Source: RNAcentral
GGAGGGCUAGUCCUAAUUGGUAAGGCAGCGGUCUUGAAAACCGCCGCGCAGAAAUGCGCUUACAGGUUCGAGUCCUGUGCCCUCCGCC